RNAcentral lists this long non-coding RNA (2606 nucleotides) under Sus scrofa (pig). RNAcentral's name for it is "lncRNA (ENSSSCG00040036522.1)". The record is from RNAcentral. Lineage: Eukaryota; Metazoa; Chordata; Mammalia; Artiodactyla; Suidae.
AGAAAUGACUUAUUUAAAAUGCUAAGACUUUCGAGACUGACAUAGUACCACAAUCUGUGCCCAAAAGUAUGGUCCAGGAGUUCCCGUCGUUGCACAGCGGAAACGAAUCCAACUAGGAACCAUGAGGUUUCGGGUUCGAUCCCUGGCCUUGAUCAGUGGGUUAAGGAUCUGGCUUUGCCAUGAGCUCCAGUGUAAGUUGCAGAUUCGGCUCGGAUCUGGCAUUGCUGUGGCUCUGGUGUAGGCCGGCAGCUACAGCUCUGAUUAGACCCUUGACCUGGGAACCUCCAUAUGCUGCGGGAGCGGCCAAAGAAAUAGCAAAAAGACAAAAAAUAAAAAUAAAAAUAAAGGAGAGUUGCUGUCCUUCUGACAUUCUGCGUAGUUUCAGUUGUAUGCCGCGUCCCCCGCCCCCCCCUUGUUCUAGUCCUCCAUAUUUCAAAUUUGUGUAUAUGUUCCUCUGUCUAAGCUUUGCACUAUCUCCACUCAAAUCCUUUGUCUUCUUUGAGAUAGCUCUGUUUUUUUUUUUGUUUGUUUGUUUUGUUUUGUUUUGUUUUGAUUAACAGCNUUUCUUGGGCCGCUCCUGCGGCAUAUGGAGGUUCCCGGGCUAGGGGUCGAAUCCGAGCUGUAGCUGCCGCCUACACCACAGCCACAGCAGCGCGGGAUCCGAACCUCAUCUGCAACCUACACCACAGCUAAGGCAACUCCGGAUCCUUAACCCACUGAGCAAGGCCAGGGAUCGAACUCCCAACCUCAUGGUUCCUAGUUUGAUUCGUUAACCACUGAGCCACAAUGGGAACUCCUGAGAUAGCGCUUUUCUUGACUUUCUGUCUCUUCAUGAUUUAUAAUCUGUGCUUCCUUUGUGCCCCUCCAAUUUCCUGUACUAAUGUUGGAGCAUUAAUUGCGCAUUGUAAUUUCCUCCUAACUUCUUUGGGAAUCGGGAGCUGGUAAUCAGGUGCCAGGUGCUGUAGUGUAGACAGUAGAUAUGAUUAAUAGGAAUUUAGCAGAAGUCAAAGAUUAUUGGGUAAAUUAUUUAGGAAAGUCCUCAUGGAGGAAUAUGGUGCUUGAAUUGGACCUCAAAGGAAGCAUUCAUGAAGAUACAGUAAUGAUCUGCCAUUGUAGGUAGAUUAAAUCUGUUGAAUACCCUUGGAUCUAGUCUUGUGAGGAUCCAUUCUAUGGGAAAAAGCCAUGACAAAAGUGAGAUAGAUGUACAUUCUUCAGCAUUGCUUUUGCAUGACUUAAUGAAACAAGCAGUGGACACCAUCACUCCUAUAGGAGAAAAGCAUGGAGAGAAUUUACAAAAGAUUUUUUUUUUUUUUUUUGCUUUUUAGGCCCACACCUGUGUUAUAUGGAAGUUCCCAGACUAGGGGUCGAAUCGGAGCUGUAGCCGAUGGCCUACACUGCAGCCACAGCAACACCAGAUAGAAGCCACAUCUGCGACCUACACCAUAGCUCACAGCAGCACUGGAUCCUUAACCCACUGAGUGAGGCCAGGGAUCAAACCUGCAUCCUCAUGGAUACUAGUCAGAUCUGUUUCUGCUGAGUCAGGACAAGGGCUCCCCACACAGCAUUUUCUAAUCUCUUACUCUGAGGUGGACAUAGGAGAGUUUUACCCCGUUUUCUGCAGAGCAGGGACGGGCCUCCCAGGAAAUCAGUAGCAAAACUGUGGCUCAUUGGCUCCAUCACGGUUUCCUCUAAUAUUUUUAGGCCAUGCUCCCUCUGAUGCAUGAAAAAAAGCCUCAUUUCCCCACCCCAGGAAUUUCUAAUAACUCACCCGUGGGGAGGAGGGCAGAAAUCUACCUCCCAAGUUGAGGUUCACUGCAUCUUCGGCCAAGCUGUUGAAUUUUACUUUCGACAGCUUGAGAUAUAAUUUGAACUCUGAAAAAUCAAAGUUGUCCUUAUUUCCCAAGUAUGAAAUACCAUAACAUUGGAACAUUUAAAACCAUACCACAGGAGUACCCUUUGUGGCUCAGCAGUAACGAACCACAACAGGAAGUCCCACAAAAGAUUUUUAAAGAACCUAGUUGUAUUGGAGUACCCUUGUGGUGCAGCAGGUUAAGGAUCCUGAAUUAUCACCUCUGUGGCUUGGGUUUGAUCCCUGGCUAGGAACUUCCAUGUGCUAUGGGCAUGGCUAAAAAACCCAAAACUUCUAUAUAUGCUAAUUUCAGAGUUUACCACCUACCUUUGUAAAAUCCUACUGGGCUUCUGAUGGAAAAUGCAGCAACAACUAGGUGAUUCCUGAAUAGGUUAUAGAAUCUUCCAUAAGACUCUUGUAUAUAGUGUUGGAGAGAAUGGCCUGAGUAGUCUGCCCAUGUCGUGACUGUCUCUGCUGUCUUAACUGACAGUACAAGUGGGGACUUUAAGCUCUUUUCACUAUGUUUGCAGCAUGUUGGCACUCAGUAAAUGUUUGCAUCCAUAAAGAAAAUGUCAAGAUUGAAAUACAAUUUCUUGCAUUUUCAGUAUUUUUAAGAUGUCUUAGAAUAGCUGUUUAAAAGUAAAAAAUGCAUUUCUUGUGUUUCGAAACACAGUGCUGAUUUAAAACUAUUUAUGAAAGUUUGCUUUGCCUGUUAGGUAAAAAGACUAGACCUAGCAAAAAAAAAAAAAAAAAAAAA